Molecule: ribosomal RNA, 680 nt
Filed under: uncultured archaeon
Lineage: Archaea
Description: bacterial SSU rRNA
Rfam family: Archaeal small subunit ribosomal RNA
Source: RNAcentral
AGUUAAAUGUUCUUCGUGAACAUAGCGAACUGCUCAGUAACACGUGGAUAACCUACCCUUAGGACCGGAAUAACCCCGGGAAACUGGGGAUAAUACCGGAUAAGCCAUAGACGCUGGAAUGCACUAUGGUUCAAAGCUCCGGCGCCUAAGGAUGGAUCUGCGGUCUAUCAGGUUGUAGUGGGUGUAACGUACCUACUAGCCGACGACGGAUACGGGUUGUGAGAGCAAGAGCCCGGAGAUGGAUUCUGAGACACGAAUCCAGGCCCUACGGGGUGCAGCAGGCGCGAACACUUUACAAUGCGGGAAACCGCGAUAAGGGAACCCCGAGUGCCAGCAUCAAAUGUUGGCUGUCCAGAUGAUUAAAAAUCAUUUGUUAGCAAGGGCCGGGCAAGACCGGUGCCAGCCGCCGCGGUAACACCGGCGGCCCGAGUGGUGAUCACUUUUAUUGGGUCUAAAGGGUCCGUAGCCGGUUUGAUCAGUCUUCUGGGAAAUCUGACAGCUCAACUGUUAGGCUUUCAAGGGAUACUGUUAGACUUGGGACCGGGAGAGGUAAGAGGUACUACGGGGGUAGGAGUGAAAUCUUGUAAUCCCUGUGGGACCACCAGUGGCGAAGGCGUCUUACCAGAACGGGUCCGACGGUGAGGGACGAAAGCUGGGGGCACGAACCGGAUUAGAUACCC